AGGAAUUCAAGGUCUCCCAAUCCUGGUCCUGCCACCUCUCUCAUCUUCUCAAGCUCUUCAAGAUUUGCCUAGCUCUGGUCAUGCAAGUCUUUGUUCUGCUGCAACAGGGCAUUGGCCCAUGGGAUGAUAUCACCUGGAUUCAGCAUGGGUCUUCCAUCUUCUAGAACACCCUCAAAAAUGUAUCCAAAGUUUCAUUUCUAUGGUAAAUCUAAAGUCACUUAAGUUGACAACAAAGAUUAACCGUCAUAGAUACCAACAGGGUAAAAUGAACUAUAAAAUUGAAAAACUUGACACCUUAGUAAGCAAUUCAAGUGGUCAGAAAUUCAUCAGAGUUCCACUGAGGAGUGCCAGCACUUACCUUGUGCUGUAGAAAUAUUUAGAAAGUUAUAAAACUGUGAGAUCACAACAUUGCCUUCCUUCCCUCUAAGGAUUUGCCCAGCAGAGGAGUACAUUUUCUAAUCCACUGACCUGUUGCUGAGCUCAAGUGCUAAAUACUUUUUAAGAGGAAAAACAGCAACAAUAAACACAAAGAUCUAACAUCAAACACUUUCCCCAAGAAGCAUGCACCCGGGAGGCAUUUUGCUUUGUCACAAUACAGAUUUCACAGCCUCUCUGAUGGGAAAGCAGACUCACCCCAUAGCCUCAGAGAAUAACAGGAUGGUGAUUUGUUAUGCUGCUCUACCUCCUCCCCUGGAAUUAUUGCCUCACUGUAAUGCUAUAGUGGUCUGCCUAGAGCUUCCUUCAGGAGGGCAAUAGCAUCCAUUGCUGCUGUUGUGUCAGGAUGGCUCCACUUUCCUCCCAACCUUUGCCUGUACAGCAAAGUCUAGAAAACAGCAAGCCUGGUGGGACUAAGAAAGCAACUGGAGGAUGAUACCUGCAAGUUUCUACAUAGCCAAAGUCAGAGUUGAAUUGUCAGUCCCAUACUCCCCGUCAACCUUGCUUUGUUUUUUAUUGUAAGAAACGGCAAUGGUGCAUCCAUGGUAGCUAUGUAAGUCCCAACUACUGACCUCUAUUUACAUGAAUUGAGCCACAGAACUUUGAUACAAAAUGUUGUCUGCAAUGAUUGAUAUUCUACGACCUUUCUUCUAGUUCUCUGCAGAGGCUCCUUCUAAUGUGUGGAGGAAAAUAAACUGCAUACAACAGGCAGCUCUGCCCUCCAUUGUUCUAUUUAUAAGAUACAUGUUCAUGCAGGAUCUUGAACUUUUUUUAUGUCAACUUGAUAUAUUUGCACAUCUUUCAUUAUUACCAGAGAUCUGAUGAAAUAUUUCAAGGUCUUCGUGUAAGGAAUUGUCCUAGAACACAAAAUAUUUUGGCCCCUAUGUUUGGAGCUGUGAUGUCAAGAUGGUGAUAAAUUCAGAUUCCAUUAAACCUGAGGAGAGUAACCCAGCAGGUGGCUGUACUAAUGGAAAAUCCUGGCUUUGGAAUAAUGGGAAUUACAACCGACAGCUCUUCUACACCACAAAAAAGAUGAUGUAUCCUUAUUGACAGUGUCGCAUUUGAGUCCAGAAGGCUGAUCUGAUAGUUCUGUCCUGGCACAACGGAAGCUAAAAGCCCCCUGGGUGCUUUCUUGGCCACACCACUGCAAUUUUUGUCAUCUGAACUUUCUAUUACAGUUCAUUUUACAAAUCACAUAUAAGUUGAAGAGCAAGAGUGGUGGGGGGUGAGGGGAAGAAGGAGACUUUAUUUUGCCUACAGGCAUACUUUUAUUCUUUUUUUCUUGCUUUAAAGGACAAAUAAAGGUUGACACACCACAGUAUUUCAAGCCAACUCAGUAUUUUCAAUGCUGACAUACCAGCCUAAGUUAUAUGAGUGAUUCUAUACAAGCUCUUCUUAAGAUGUUUCUUCUGCUUGGAAGAUGUGUGGAUUGCCUAGGAGGUGUGAUGCUUGAUAGUCCUGCAUUGAUUUCCAUUAUUUCUCCUUUCUUUUAGCUCCAUCUUUGUCUUUAAAUUAAAAGACCUUAUUUGAUUAAGAGAAAGCCUUGGUCACAUUUAUCUGAGGAAGCAUCUGGAUGUUCAAAUAUUUAGAACUUCAUAUUUUCACCGAGCCUCCAACUCUCUGAAAAUAUAACAAGGAGUUAUCAAAAUGUUUUAUUGUAUUCACCAUCU
Peromyscus maniculatus bairdii (prairie deer mouse) is the source of this 2105-nucleotide non-coding RNA. NCBI's taxonomy places the organism in Eukaryota, Metazoa, Chordata, Mammalia, Rodentia, Cricetidae. The record is from RefSeq and is a predicted model, not a curated record.